CAAUCUGGUGAGUAAAGUGGCGUACGGGUGAGUAACACGUGGAUAAUCUACCUUUUGUGGGGGAUAACCUGGGGAAACCUGGGCUAAUACCGCAUAAGCUCGAAAGAGGAAAGCCCGCAAGGGCGCAGGAAGAGGAGUCCGCGGUCGAUUAGCUAGUUGGUAGGGUAAAGGCCUACCAAGGCAACGAUCGAUAGCCGGCCUGAGAGGGCACACGGCCACACUGGCACUGAAACACGGGCCAG
RNAcentral lists this ribosomal RNA (242 nucleotides) under uncultured bacterium. RNAcentral describes it as "partial 16S ribosomal RNA". It matches the Rfam family "Bacterial small subunit ribosomal RNA", at positions 79 to 334 of the family's 1533-position model. The record is from RNAcentral.